RNAcentral lists this ribosomal RNA (253 nucleotides) under uncultured bacterium. RNAcentral's name for it is "partial 16S ribosomal RNA". It matches the Rfam family "Bacterial small subunit ribosomal RNA", at positions 524 to 776 of the family's 1533-position model. The record is from RNAcentral.
UACGGAGGGAGCUAGCGUUGUUCGGAAUUACUGGGCGUAAAGCGCACGUAGGCGGCUACUCAAGUCGGGGGUGAAAGCCCGGGGCUCAACCCCGGAACUGCCUUCGAAACUAGGUAGCUAGAAUCUUGGAGAGGUCAGUGGAAUUCCGAGUGUAGAGGUGAAAUUCGUAGAUAUUCGGAAGAACACCAGUGGCGAAGGCGACUGACUGGACAAGUAUUGACGCUGAGGUGCGAAAGCGUGGGGAGCAAACAGG